This 490-nucleotide ribosomal RNA is filed under the name uncultured bacterium. RNAcentral describes it as "partial 16S ribosomal RNA". It matches the Rfam family "Bacterial small subunit ribosomal RNA", at positions 28 to 507 of the family's 1533-position model. The record is from RNAcentral.
GAUGAACGCUAGCUACAGGCUUAACACAUGCAAGUCGCGGGGCAGCAUGGGGGUUGCUUGCAAUCCCCGAUGGCGACCGGCGCACGGGUGAGUAACGCGUAUCCAACCUGCCCUUCACCACGGGAUAACCCGGCGAAAGUCGGACUAAUACCGUAUGUUGUCCAUUGACGGCAUCCGAUUUGGACGAAAGGUUUGGCGGUGAAGGAUGGGGAUGCGUCCGAUUAGCUGGACGGCGGGGUGACGGCCCACCGGGGCGACGAUCGGUAGGGGUUCUGAGAGGAAGGUCCCCCACACUGGAACUGAGACACGGUCCAGACUCCUACGGGAGGCAGCAGUGAGGAAUAUUGGUCAAUGGGCGUAAGCCUGAACCAGCCAAGUAGCGUGCAGGAUGACGGCCCUAUGGGUUGUAAACUGCUUUUAUGCGGGGAUAAAGUGGCCCACGUGUGGGUUUUUGCAGGUACCGCAUGAAUAAGGACCGGCUAAUUCCGUG